RNAcentral lists this non-coding RNA (172 nucleotides) under uncultured Catenibacterium sp. The record is from RNAcentral. Lineage: Bacteria; Bacillati; Bacillota; Erysipelotrichia; Erysipelotrichales; Coprobacillaceae.
UAUCGUGAGAUAGAAUCUGAAAGAAGAUGGAGGCAAAACUCUGGUCCGAGGAACACGAAUCACAUAUAAGGCGUAUAAACGGGGAUGAGUGUGCAAAACAACACGAAGUCAUAAGAGAUUGCGGAAUAGGACUGUUAUAUGUAAAUGUGGCGGAUAUAUGGAGAGAAAGAGA